This 384-nucleotide ribosomal RNA is filed under the name Mastigocladus sp. HM9. RNAcentral describes it as "bacterial SSU rRNA". It matches the Rfam family "Bacterial small subunit ribosomal RNA", at positions 356 to 756 of the family's 1533-position model. The record is from RNAcentral. Lineage: Bacteria; Bacillati; Cyanobacteriota; Cyanophyceae; Nostocales; Hapalosiphonaceae.
GGGGAAUCUUCCGCAAUGGGCGAAAGCCUGACGGAGCAAUACCGCGUGAGGGAGGAAGGCUCUUGGGUUGUAAACCUCUUUUCUCAAGGAAGAAGAUCUGACGGUACUUGAGGAAUCAGCAUCGGCUAACUCCGUGCCAGCAGCCGCGGUAAUACGGAGGAUGCAAGCGUUAUCCGGAAUGAUUGGGCGUAAAGCGUCCGCAGGUGGUUAUGUAAGUCUAUUGUCAAAGCGUCAUGCUUAACAUGAUAAGGGCAGUAGAAACUGCACGACUAGAGUGCGUUCGGGGCAGAGGGAAUUCCUGGUGUAGCGGUGAAAUGCGUAGAGAUCAGGAAGAACACCGGUGGCGAAAGCGCUCUGCUAGGCCGCAACUGACACUGAGGACGA